This 714-nucleotide ribosomal RNA is filed under the name gamma proteobacterium IMCC15005. RNAcentral describes it as "bacterial SSU rRNA". It matches the Rfam family "Bacterial small subunit ribosomal RNA", at positions 44 to 749 of the family's 1533-position model. Lineage: Bacteria; Pseudomonadati; Pseudomonadota; Gammaproteobacteria. The record is from RNAcentral.
AGGCUUAACACAUGCAAGUCGAACGGUAACAUAGCUAGCUUGCUAGCUGAUGACGAGUGGCGGACGGGUGAGUAACGCGUAGGAAUCUACCUAUUAGUGGGGGACAACCUGGUGAAAACCAGGCUAAUACCGCAUACGCCCUACGGGGGAAAGCAGGGGAUCUUCGGACCUUGCGCUAUUAGAUGAGCCUGCGUUAGAUUAGCUUGUUGGUGAGGUAAUGGCUCACCAAGGCGACGAUCUAUAGCUGGUCUGAGAGGAUGAUCAGCCACACUGGGACUGAGACACGGCCCAGACUCCUACGGGAGGCAGCAGUGGGGAAUAUUGCGCAAUGGGCGAAAGCCUGACGCAGCCAUACCGCGUGUGUGAAGAAGGGUUUAGGCUCGUAAAGCACUUUAAGUAGGGAGGAAGGCCUGUAAAUUAAUACUUUGCAGGAUUGACGUUACCUACAGAAUAAGCACCGGCUAACUCCGUGCCAGCAGCCGCGGUAAUACGGAGGGUGCAAGCGUUAAUCGGAAUUACUGGGCGUAAAGCGCGCGUAGGCGGUUUGUUAAGCGAGAUGUGAAAGCCCAGGGCUCAACCUUGGAACUGCAUUUCGAACUGGCAGGCUAGAGUACAAGAGAGGGUGGUAGAAUUUCCUGUGUAGCGGUGAAAUGCGUAGAUAUAGGAAGGAAUACCAGUGGCGAAGGCGGCCACCUGGCUUGAUACUGACGCUGA